GAUGAACGCUGGCGGCGUGCCUAAUACAUGCAAGUCGAGCGAACAGAUGAGGAGCUUGCUCCUCUGACGUUAGCGGCGGACGGGUGAGUAACACGUGGAUAACCUACCUAUAAGACUGGGAUAACUUCGGGAAACCGGAGCUAAUACCGGAUAAUAUAUUGAACCGCAUGGUUCAAUAGUGAAAGACGGUUUUGCUGUCACUUAUAGAUGGAUCCGCGCCGCAUUAGCUAGUUGGUAAGGUAACGGCUUACCAAGGCAACGAUGCGUAGCCGACCUGAGAGGGGAGGCGGGCCACGCGAAAAGAGAACCUGGCACAAUACCCGGCGGGAGGGAGACAGGAGGAACUCUGCAGCAAGGGGCAAGACCGGAGAGGAGCACCGCGGGGGGUGGUAGUAGCGUCUUGGUGCUAAAAGACUUUUUUUUGAGGGAAAAAAAAAUGUGAAUGUAAAUAUACACGUGUGGAGGGACCUUAACAAAAAGCCCGCGACAAACUCGGCC
Molecule: ribosomal RNA, 498 nt
Filed under: uncultured bacterium
Lineage: Bacteria
Description: partial 16S ribosomal RNA
Rfam family: Bacterial small subunit ribosomal RNA
Source: RNAcentral